RNAcentral lists this ribosomal RNA (433 nucleotides) under uncultured bacterium. Its description in RNAcentral is "partial 16S ribosomal RNA". It matches the Rfam family "Bacterial small subunit ribosomal RNA", at positions 29 to 507 of the family's 1533-position model. The record is from RNAcentral.
AACGAACGCUGGCGGCAUGCCUAACACAUGCAAGUCGAACGAGACCUUCGGGUCUAGUGGCGCACGGGUGCGUAACGCGUGGGAACCCGCCCUUAGGUUCGGAAUAACUCCCCGAAAGGGGUGCUAAUACCGGAUAAUGUCUUCGGACCAAAGAUUUAUCGCCUUUGGAUGGGCCCGCGUUGGAUUAGCUAGUUGGUAGGGUAAAAGCCUACCAAGGCGACGAUCCAUAGCUGGUCUGAGAGGAUGAUCAGCCACACUGGGACUGAGACACGGCCCAGAAUCCUACGGGAGGCAGCAGUGGGGAAUAUUGGACAAUGGGCGAAAGCCUGAUCCAGCAAUGCCGCGUGAGUGAUGAAGGCCUUAGGGUUGUAAAGCUCUUUUACCCGGGAUGAUAAUGACAGUACCGGGAGAAUAAGCUCCGGCUAACUCCGUG